AUGCACGCUGGCGGCGUGCCUAAUACAUGCAAGUCGAGCGAACGGACGAGAAGCUUGCUUCUCUGAUGUUAGCGGCGGACGGGUGAGUAACACGUGGAUAACCUACCUAUAAGACUGGGAUAACUUCGGGAAACCGGAGCUAAUACCGGAUAAUAUUUUGAACCGCAUGGUUCAAAAGUGAAAGACGGUCUUGCUGUCACUUAUAGAUGGAUCCGCGCUGCAUUAGCUAGUUGGUAAGGUAACGGCUUACCAAGGCAACGAUGCAUAGCCGACCUGAGAGGGUGAUCGGCCACACUGGAACUGAGACACGGUCCAGACUCCUACGGGAGGCAGUAGUAGGGAAUCUUCCGCAAUGGGCGAAAGCCUGACGGAGCAACGCCGCGUGAGUGAUGAAGGUCUUCGGAUCGUAAAACUCUGUUAUUAGGGAAGAACAUAUGUGUAAGUAACUGUGCACAUCUUGACGGUACCUAAUCAGAAAGCCACGGCUAACUACGUG
RNAcentral lists this ribosomal RNA (496 nucleotides) under uncultured bacterium. RNAcentral's name for it is "partial 16S ribosomal RNA". It matches the Rfam family "Bacterial small subunit ribosomal RNA", at positions 29 to 507 of the family's 1533-position model. The record is from RNAcentral.